CUCUGUUGUAAGAGAAGAACGAGUGUGAGAGUGGAAAGUUCACACUGUGACGGUAUCUUACCAGAAAGGGACGGCUAACUACGUGCCAGCAGCCGCGGUAAUACGUAGGUCCCGAGCGUUGUCCGGAUUUAUUGGGCGUAAAGCGAGCGCAGGCGGUUAGAUAAGUCUGAAGUUAAAGGCUGUGGCUUAACCAUAGUACGCUUUGGAAACUGUUUAACUUGAGUGCAAGAGGGGAGAGUGGAAUUCCAUGUGUAGCGGUGAAAUGCGUAGAUAUAUGGAGGAACACCGGUGGCGAAAGCGGCUCUCUGGCUUGUAACUGACGCUGAGGCUCGAAAGCGUGGGGAGCAAACAGGAUUAGAUACCCUGGUAGUCCACGCCGUAAACGAUGAGUGCUAGGUGUUAGACCCUUUCCGGGGUUUAGUGCCGCAGCUAACGCAUUAAGCACUCCGCCUGGGGAGUACGACCGCAAGGUUGAAACUCAAAGGAAUUGACGGGGGCCCGCACAAG
This 507-nucleotide ribosomal RNA is filed under the name uncultured bacterium. RNAcentral describes it as "bacterial SSU rRNA". It matches the Rfam family "Bacterial small subunit ribosomal RNA", at positions 431 to 929 of the family's 1533-position model. The record is from RNAcentral.